AGCCUUAACAACCCAUCAAGACCAGGCCAUCGAAGAAACCCCCAGCUCUGGCAUGGCAUCCAUUUUAGUACUGUGGCGGAUGUUAUAAAGAAAUUAUUCAAUGCAGAUGGCCUCAAGAAACUCAUUGUAAAGUGUUGCGGAACUAAAGGUGAUGGAAAAAUCAAAAAGGACGGACCGAUUCAGCAAACUACGAAGAAAAUGCGAGGCUUAAAGGUUUCGGAGACAGAGAAAGAGAGAGAAAGGGGUGAUGUGCUAUGUAUUUAUUGACUAACUCAAUCUUGUUGAGGAAGUUUCAACCAGAGAGAGAGAGGCAGAUUCUUCUUGUCCACACUGCCGGGCUUUACUUUUUUGCGACCAAACUACCACUAGAACGCGUACAUACACCGCUAAAUACCGCUGUAGCUGAUAAUUAUUUUUAAAAUUAGGCAAAUAUAACACUAUGUACAGUGUCAUCAUUUAGAUUUAAAUGCGUGGUUGAUUAGUGAUGGAGAAUGUAUUUUUUAUUUUUUUAUUUUUUGAGUUCUUUUGAGACUGAUAUCUGAAAAAAAAUUAAUUUUUUUAAACGCAUUAUAUUAAUAUAAGAAUUUUAAAAAAAUUGUUUAGAAAUGGGAUUUAGUCUCCGUUGAUGUUUAAAUUGACUCUAAUAUAUUUCUUAUUAUCAAAUUAGAAAAUACAUAAUAGAAGGUAUAUGUUUGGUAAUACAUUUUUUAAAAGGUUUUUUUGUUUUAAAAAAUAUUAAAUUGAUAAUUUUUUAUGAUUUUGAUAUUCUUGUAUAAAAAAUAUUUUAAAAAAAUUAUUUAUUAUUUAUUAUUUUUUACAAAAAUCCCUUAAAAAAACACCUUAAUCACAAUGUCAGAUAAUGCUUAAGAUUACCGAUACAGUUGCAUCCACGGAUGUCAUAUUGACACUUCAAUUGUGGCCAUACUAAAUGUAUGUAUGAUGUGUUCCACAUAUUACAUUGUAUAAAUUAGGGGUGAGAAAAAAACUGAAAAAUCAAUUAAACUGAGAAAAUCAGAAAAAAAAUAAUUAAAAAAACUGAACCGAAAAAAAAAACUAAUUAAGGGUUUGUUUGGCAGUGUGGUUGCGGUUGCUUUUCAAAUAGCUUUUCGUGCCAAAAUGCAUGCCAAUGAUUUUUUUUAUUUUUUAAAAAUUAUUUUUAACAUCAGCACAUCAAAAUGAUUUGAAAACACUAAAAAUAUAUUAAUUUGAAGUUAAUAAAAAAAUAAAAAAAUUUUAAAUUUUGUCAAAAGCGCUUUUGAAACGUAGAAACAAACAGGCCCUAAACCUAUUAACCGAAAAACCGAGAAAACCGAGUCAAACCGGAAAAACAAAAAAUAAUUUCGGUUCGGACUUUUUUUAAAAAAUUCGAUUUGGUUAUUUUUUUGAUAAAAACCGAAUCGAACCGAAAAUAAUUACCCAUAGCAUAAACCCCUUCAUGCCUUAAAAAAAAAUCAGUCAAAAAAUGAAAAACUAACUUAAACCCAAAAGAUUAAUUUUUUCUCUCAAAUAAAACUUAUGAACAACAAGAUUAAUUUUUUUCAUCAAAAUUAUUUUUAACAAUAACUUCUUCUUUUUUUUUACCAUCAAAACCCACUAACCUUUCUCUCUCCUCUCUCUAACAAAAAAAAAGCCAAUUAACCUUUCUCUCUAUUCUCUCUAACGAGAAAUAGUAAAAUUAAAAAAUUAAAAUUUUAUUCCAAAUUUGAAUUUCUAAAAGCUUUAGGAAUUGAGAAUGUAUGUUUAUAAAAAUAAAAAUACAAACCGCCGUCCAUUUGUGAUUAGAAAAAAUAUUAAAACCCCUAUCACUAUCACACCCUAUCUGAGAGAUAGACUGCUUUGUAAUUUUAAUACGUUAAAAAAUUUUAAAUUUUUUUUAUCUUUCCAUCAAAUAUUAAUCAAAUAUUAGAAAUACAACUUUCUUAAAGUUUUCUAAAACUUUCUUAAAGUCAACAAAUCAAAAUUUUAAAAUUUUUUUCUCUUUCCAUCAAAUAUUAGAAAUAGAACUUUCUUAAAGUUUUCUAAAACUUUCUUAAAGUCAACAAAUCAAAAUAUUAAAUUUUUAUUUUAUCUUUCUCUUUCUGGUUUAUCAAAAAAAAAAUUAAAACCAUCCAUCCAACAAAAAUAAAAAAAAAUCAGACACAUUCACUUUUACUAUGUUUUGCACACACUUUUCCCAUGAUUUACACAUACAACCAUGAUUUACAUGAUUACAAAAUAACUAUAUUCAAAAUAAAUCAAAUACAAUUCAAAAAUUACAAAAUAACAAAAUAGCCCCUAAAAUUCCAGGAACUGCUGGGAAGUCUUCUGAACUCUGCUGGAAUAGUGGCGGCGCGUCUUCUCCAUGAGCGGCCGACACUGGCAGCGAGUGGGUUCACGCGCCAUCGCGAGGGAGUCCAGGCAACAGGUGAUCUGUAACGGUUUGUUCCGCUCUUCCCUUCCCUGCAUGCGGUGAAGAUCACCGUCACCUGCAACAAGAGAAAAUGCAACAGGCAGUCGAGUAAAUUUUCUUUCUUUUUCAGAUCUACUUCUCCCCCCUUACAGAUCUGUUUUUCUGUUCUGAUUUGCUGUUCUUUCCUUCUUUUUCAGGUGUCAGAUCUGGCGGCGACGACGCUGGAUUCGGGUUGUUGCUUUGGCCGCUGCUAUUGCAGGCUGAAUGGAGGGGAUGUCUGGUUCGGUUUAGCAGAGAUGGGGAAAGCUGGAGACGGCGUCUGUGGGGCUGGUCUCCUGUGAGGACAGCGCUGAUAUGGCUGACAGUGAAGGGGGUCGGUGGAGACGGGGAACGGCUCUGCCCGUUUUUGGUCUUGGCGAGCUGGCGGCUGGUUCAGGAGAAAAGGAAAAUGAGGGCUGGUGUGCUUUUCGGUCGGUUGAGAGGAAAACAAAAGGAAGUGAGGGGCUUUCAGGUGGCGGCUGAGAGAAGAAAAUCAAAGUGGUGAGCUGACUGUCUUGUGGCUGAGAGGGGAGGUUACACCGGGUGCAGGGGAAGAAGGCAAAAAUUCAAAAGGAGGGAUUAAAAUUAUAGGUAAAAUGUUUAUAUUUAUAUUUUUUUAUAUAGAUAUUAUAUUUAUAGGUAAAAUGUUGUUUGCUGUUAAAAUUAAUCCCUCAACUUUCUUUUUGCUUUGCAAAUUGAUUUUUUUAUUUAUUUUUAUAUUUUAAGAUUUUAAAAACGAUUAAUAUCAAUGUUGAUUUAAAUAAAAAAAUCAUUAAUUUGAAAAAUAAUAUGUUAAAAAUCUAACACAUUCUAAAGAUAUUUGAAAAUUUAAAAGAAUAUAUAUUAAAAAAUAUAUUUUUUAGAUUUUCAUUAUUUUUUUAUUAUUUUUAAAAAAUUUUAAAUUUUUAUAAAAAGAUAGGUUUGGUAGCAACAUGUCUUUUAUUUUUUUUCUUCUACUCAAGCUGUAACGAAGUCGUUGGAACUCGGUGGCGUAGAUCAAUAUCAAAUUAAAUUUUCCACCAGGGAGUACUGAUUAGUGAUUAACCUUAGCCAUACGCCAAGCAACUAUUUUCACCUCAAAUGCCAAGAUCGUAUUAAUGAACGAGGAAGGAGCAAAAUAAGCAAAACCAUGAGGCCUUGGCAAGUAAUUUUCUCGGUAGAAACAUCCCACAAUAUUCCACAGGUUCAGGAAACUUGGUCCAUACGUAGGAAAACAAACAAAAAAUCUGAAAUUUCGUAACCGAGCAUGAUACAUCGUAUAGGUUACAGUUGAAACUUCUAAAAAGCACUACUAACCCUCCUAAUUAAGAUCUUAGUCUUGCAAAGUAAAUCGCAGCUUCGAGGUUUAGCCUCCCUUAUAAUCUAAACCUUUUAAUUUGUCUUCUAAUUGCCCAUUCUUGACUGCUGAUAUUGCACUGAUUUAGUAACUGGUCUGGAAGGGUUUGAUCGACUUGAGAUCGCCGACAAUUCCAGCAACAGAGCCAGCAGCGGCAGCUAUAGUGAUAAUGAGGCAAGCAACACUUAGGAUCUGCAGGCAGAGCCAUCUUGUGCUCCACUUUGGUAUCUUCUUUUGUACAAUAUACAUCUCCACAGGGAAGUAAACCGUCAAUGGCCAAAAUCCCAAAGCCCCAAGUAAACCAACUAUGUCAUUAAAGAAGGGAAGGAGCAUUGAAAUCACAGUGGUGAGGACCACAAAGAGGGUCCUCCAAAUCAUUCUAAAGAGAUUGAGAUUGUAGGGGCGGAAACCAGGAAUCGGGAUAUUGAUGUCUUUCGUAAUGAAUUCACUAUCUGGAAAUCUUUGAGCUGCUUCUUUUUCGAUGAAAGCAUAGAGAGGUUGGCAGGAGACCUGGUAUGCGCCAACAAGGUGAAUCACUAUGGCAGCAUUGGCAAUAUCAAGAAGCCAGUAUGGGUUAUAAAAGCCAAAUCCAGUAAGGAGGUUUCCAGGGGACAAGUCCCCAAAAGCAGCAUAGCCAAAGCAGCCACAGAACAUGUAGAAAAGGGUUGUGACUACAACACUUAUUAGAGUUGCCUUCUUCAUUGUCUUGGCUUCUGAUGGUGGGGAUUUGAUUGUGUCCUGUUAAUUAUGAUACAAACCUUGUAGGUUAGUUUAAAUUCUAAGAGAAAUUAUCCAGCAUAUCCUAUGUAUAAUGUUAGCAAACGAAAUGAGUAGGCUGCAAAUAUAUAUAUAUAUAUAUAUAAUGUUAGCGCGCACCUGAAUUUCAACGAGGAUCAUGGAGAAAGAAUAGGCAAAAGCAAUGUUACCGAGUGCUUGGAAGCUAAUCCAUAUCUUUUGGGUUUGAGUCACAGUGCCAAUGCUUAUUCCAGUUAGACUUCCACUAAUUUUUCCAUUUUCUAUAACUUUACCAAUGCCAAGACCUAGACCAAUUGAUGCGUAAGUGAAGGACAUGACUGCAGCGACAAGAGAGAGCCAGUGUAACUGAUCAAAUCCAGGAAUUUGAGACAAAAGUAUCUCAGUUAUACCAAACCCUAUCAUAUAUGGAUUGGCAUUCAUACGGCAUGGAUUUUUUCCACCACUCUUGUGAAAACAAUUUGACCUCUUUAUUGCCCUGUAAGUGUAGAAAGGAAGAGGACCGUUAGCCCAAAGAAUUCAUAAUAUAUCUAGGCAUGAUCAGCGAUUACAAGUAAGAACAAAGAAAAAAAUUGAGUUUUUGUUGACUUGAAAGUGAAAGCUUACAUCAUGCUUAUAGAUGAUGCAAUUGUGUAGCCAGUGGCAACUCCAAAAGGAUUCAGGUACAGAACAAAUCCACAUAUCUUGACCUUAACAUCACCUGAGAAAAUUUUAAAAAAAUUUUUAAAAAUAUCAAGCCCAAUAUCUGUAUAUAUUUAGUAGCUUAUAUAUAUAUAUAUAUAUAUAGCUUAUAUAUAUAUAUAUAUAUAUAUAUAUAUAUAUAUAUAUAUAUAUAUAUAUAUAUGUAUAUGGUACGUAGCAGGACUAGUUAGUUACCAAGAUUGGCCCGAACAACAUCCAUGUAGGUGUAGUUUCUCUUGCCGGUAAUAGGAUCACCAGAGCGGUAGCAGGCGGAGAGCAGAGUCGAAGUAUAGUAAGUGAUCCAUCCAAGCUGACCAAUAGCCCAAGCCAAGGAGAGAACUCCAGACCCAAUAACAGCUGUUAUGAUGUGAGCACUUGCAGUCCACACAGUUCCUGUUUAAAGAAACAACAAAAGAAAGACUCAGGAUAAAAAACACGACCCCAUGGCUAAUAUUUUUUCUUCUUCUUUCAGAGUUGUCCAGAAUACUAAAUAAAGAAGAGUAAAGUUACCAGUUCGUUUGGGGCGGCCAUCAUCAUCAAACCACUCGGAGCCACUUCGUGGAUUGGUGUCAAUUGAGACGCUGAAAACCUGGUGAGGGAGUUGGUUCUCUGCGGAUGUGUUCUCACCCAUCUUUGUUAACAAAAGAUACCAAUAAUUGUGUGAGUUAUGCUAUAAAAGAAUCUCUAAUGACUUGAAGUAUACUAGAGUCUGUGCACUGAAUACAGUAACAUGAAAGAAAGUGGAAAGAAGUGUCGAAAGAACGUGACGAGGCUCCCUCCUUGAUCGAUCCAAGUCCGGUUUCAAGUAUGGAAUUAGUCUCAGACCGAAACAGAGACACAAUCACACACCUCCCAAGAAAACCCAAUUUGGUUUAGCGUAUAGUUUUUACUAGUUACAUGCCCCGCGCGAUGCCACGGGUCAAUUAUUUUUUGCAUUUUAAAAAUAGCCAAGAUCCAAAAGUGUUAGGUUUUUUUGCAAAGUUAUACCCAAGAGUCUGAGGUUUGGUUGCAACGCCUGACCCAAGAGUAAUGUUUAUAAUAUUAAUAAUAACAUUAAACUUGGGUUAACCCUUAGCAUAAAAGUGUUUGGACUGCAAUAUCAAACCCAAUAGCAUUGGAUGUGGGUCUGGCUGCAAGGUCGUGUCAUAAAAGUGUGAUAAUUAAAUAGAUUAGUUAAAAAGAAAAAAAACCAACAGGAAGAAAAAAACUAAUGAAAAAAAGAAAAAAAUAUAUGAAUUAAUUGGGUUAACCCUUCAAACCAGGUUAACCCGUCAUACCUUGAAUUCGCAUCGUGAAAGUUUGAUAAUUAAAAAGAAAAAAACAAAUUAAUGGGUUAACCUAGAAUUAACUGGGCUAGCUCGUCAAAUCAGGUUAACCUGUCAAACCCGGAAUCCGUGUAAUGAAAGUUUGAUAACUAAAUAGAAAAAAAUUUAACAUUAACAAUUUAAAUUAAACGAAAAAAAUUAAUUAAAAAAAAAAACAAAAGGCAUCAGCCUUUUCACUGUGAACUGCACUGUGCAGUCCACAGUCAAAGGCAUAAAAAAAAACUAAAGGCAUCAGCCGAGAACUACUUAGAAAAAAAUUUAACAUUAAUAAACUAAAUUAAUUAAAUAAAAUUAAUUAAAAAGAAAAAAUAAAAGAAAGAAAACCUCUAAGAAGAAAAAAAACUAAAUAGAAAGAAAUUUAACAUUAACAAACUAAACUAAACGAAAAAAAUAAUUAAAAAGAAAAAAAAAGCAAAAAUUAAAAUAAAAUUCAGGUUAACUCGUCAAACCAAGUUAACCCGUUAAACCCGGGAUCCGUGUCAUGAAUGUCUGGUAACUAAAUAAAAAAAAGUGAACAUUAACAAACUGAACUAAAAUAAAAAAAUUAAUUAAAAAGAAAAAAAAAUCUGGAUUAACUCGUCAAACCAUAUUAACCUGUUAAACCCAAUAUUUGUGUCAUGAAAGUCUGAUAACUAAAUAAAAAAAAAUUUAACAUUAACAAACUAAAUUAAACAAAACUAUUUAUGAAAAUAAUAAAAAAAAAUUGACGGGUCAACCCGGAAUUAACUGGGUUCACUCGUGAAACCAGGUUAACCCGUGAAACUCGGGAUAUGUGUCAUGAAAGUCUAAUAACUAAAUAGAAAGAAAUUUAACAUUAACAAACUAAACUAAACGAAAAAAAUUAAUUAAAAAAAAACAAAGAAAGAAGCAAAAAAAAAUCCCAAAAAGCAUAAAAAAAACAGCUAAAAAAACUUAGACAACUUAAAAAAAAAAACAAAAACAAAAAAAAACACCUAAGGAAUCAAUGUUUUACUGUGGACUGCACUGACACUGAUUCCUUUUAGCUAUUUAUGAAAAUUUGAUAACUGAAUAGGAAAAAAAAAUUACGGGUUAACCCAGAAUUAGCUGGGUUAACCCGUCAAACCCGGAAUCCAUGUCAUGAAAGUUUGAUAACUAAAUAGAAAAAAUUUAACAUUAACAAACUAAAUUAAACGAAAAAAUUAAUUAAAAAGAAAAACCAGAAAAAAAUCCGGGUUAACCCAUCAAACCCGGAACCCGUGUCAUGAAAGUUUGAUAACUAAAUAGAAAAAAAUUUAACAUUAACAAAAAAAAAUUCAUUAAAAAAAACAAAGAAAAAAACAGCUUAAAAAAAACAAAAACAAAAAAAAACAGCUCAGCGUUUCACUUUAGACUGCACUCGAAAAAAUAAUUAAUUAAAAGGUAAACCAGAAAAAAAGUUUGGGUUAACCCGUCAAACCCGGAACCCGUGUCAUGAAAGUUUGAUAACUAAAUAUAAAAAAAUUUAACAUUAAAAAAAAAUUUAACAAAAAAAAUCAUUAAAAAAAUAAAAAAAACAGCUUAAAAAAAUAAAACAAAACAACUUAAAAAAAAGUAAAAAAGCAAAAAAAAAAAAAAGAGAAAGCAGCUGCUCAGCGUUUCACUGUAGACUUGCACAGUGAAAUACUGAUCAGUUUUAGUAUAUUUUACAAUUUACAAUAGGUGCUUCGAGAGGGAGAGACAAAGAGAGUGUGCUAUGUAUCAGACAGAGGAACUGCUCUUAUUAGCUAGAGAAAUUAGCGAGUUGAUUUCAGGGAUACAAUGGAAGGCAUGGAAUGGUGGGUAUUUAUAAGAGGCACGAGGCAGCCCAGGAAAAAAAAACAUAAAUAUUGCAGAGGCACGUGGUUUCGAAAUAUUGGGAUACUUGUAAUUUUUAUUUUAUUGUUGCCUUCUGGAUUUCAAUCAAGCUCCAUCCAUUCACUGUAGUUAGAUAAAGACAGUUAAAGCAGUUGGGCUGGGCAAUGAAAAUAUUGAAAAUAUUCUUGAACCGCUUGGGAUUUGAGUGUGAUAUUAGAUUAUUUUAACGCAUGAAUCAAGGAAUUACGUUUUUGUCUCGUGUUAUUUUACAAGGGUGUUUCUUGUCCCCUUCCGGAAACAUUCUUUUUUUUUUUUUUUUGUAAAGCUGCAAUCAAAAGAGUUACUGUGCCACUUUUGUGUUUAAAAGAGAGAUUCCUUACUUUAGCCACUAUCACCAUUGCGUGCCAGCACCGGGCAUGGCUUUGGUUGCAAAUUAUAUAUAAUAUCUACUUAAUUUAUAUGGGGUGACUGUGUGAGGAUCUUAAUGUAGUUGAAACAAAUAAUGUUAUGAUGUGAGCACUUGCAGUCCAUACGGUCCCUGGAAACAAUUGAAGUUGAACAGAAUAUAUAUAAGUUGAACAGAAUAUAUAUUUUCUUGGAAAUCUUACUUAAUCAUAGCAAAUGGACAAAUAUAAUGUAAAGAAGUUGUGAAAUACCAGUUCGCUUUAGACGGCCAUCGUCAUCAAACCACCUGGAGCCACCUUGUUGAUGCGUGUCAAUGGAGAUAUCGAAAACUUGGCGAUUCCUUAGGCUCGUGUUCAUAUUUAUGAUAUAACAGAGAGGUAGCAGUGGCAGUAGGUGAAGGUUGGAAUUGAGUUGUGUUGGUGUACGAGAGACAGAGAGAAACAAGGACAGUACUCUCAACUUUUAGUAAUUAACUAGUUGCUAUGCGCGCGCAUGUUGUCACGGGUUUAUGAUAUAUUUGUGCAUUGUCAAAAAUUUAUAAAAACAAUUUAUAACAAAAAAAAUAAUAUGAAAAAAUACUUUAACAAUCAACGAUGUUUUAAAAAAAAAUUAUAAAGCUAAAUUUUUAACCAGUUCAAUAUGAAAAAAAAAAAAUUCAACAAAGAAAAUUUUAAAAAAAAAUCAAUAAAAAAAAAUGUGGAAACACUGUAGCAAGAAAAAAUCAUGUGGGGAAAUAUUGUAUCAAUCCACAAUGUUUUUUUUCAAGAAAAAAACUAUAAAGCUAAAUUAUCAACCAGCUCAAUAUGAAAAAAAAAAAAACUAAAACUGACAAAGACAAUUCUGAAAAAAAAACAAAAAAAAUAAAAAAGCCAUAUGGAAAAACACUGUAGCAAUCAACAGUGUUUUAAAGAAAAAACUACAAAACUAAAUUUUCAACCAGCUCAAUAUUAAAAAAAUAAAAUCGACAAAAAUAAUUUUGAAAAAAACACAAAAAAAACAAAAAAUAAAGAAGACAAUUUUGGGAAAAAACAUAAAAGCAAAAAUAAAAAUAAAAAAAUAAAGAAAAAACAUGUGGAGAAAGCUAAAGUUAAAUUCUCAACCAGCUCAAUAUUAAAAAAAAAUCAACAAAGAUAAUUUUGAAAAAAACAAACAUAUGAAGAAAUAGUGUACCAAAACAAAAACCAUAUGGGAGGAAUAAUAUAGUAAUCUAUAAUGUUUUUUUUAUAAAAAAAACUACAAAACUAAAUUCUCAACCAGCUCAAUAUGAAAAAAAAACCAAAAAGAACUAUUUUGGAAAAAAAAUCAUAAAAAAAAGAAAAAAAUAUUAGAUAGGUGGUUGGAAAUUUGAUUUUGGGAUUUUUUUGGAUCCAAAAAAUCUUUUUUCAAUCUAUUUUCACUUAAAAACACCUAAUAAAUAUUAUUACUAUGUCAAUAAAUCAAUCUCUCAACUCAAAAAUCAAUAAAUUAGUCCAAAAAACAAAAUGAAAAAAAAAACUUUCUCAAUCUACCUUUUCAAACAAGUUGAAGACUUAAAAACAUCUCAACGACCUUUAUACAUGGAAAUAUUGUAGCAAUCUAUAAUAUAUUUUUUUAAAUAAUAAAAUUAAAUCCUCAACCAGUUCAAUAUUAAAAAAAAAUCAGCAAAAAUAAUUUUUAAAAAAAUAUACAAUUUAAUUUUAAAAAAAACAUACAAUUUUUUUUUAAAAAAAGUCAAUCUUGAGAAAAGAAAAAAAAACCAUAUAAAAAAAAACUAAAAAUAUUAAUAUAAUAAAAAUAAAAGGCGUGGGUAUUGUUAAUUAAAAAGGCUAGAGUGGAUAGUGGAAUGCAAUGGAAUGCAAGAGGAUUAGUCAGACUGGUGGUAAAAACAAGGACACGUGUUUUAAACACGUUAUGUAUUUUUUUAUUUUUCAUGUGGGGAAAAUAUGAAAUUAGUUCCCGAACUAUAACUUCUAUCUCAAUUGAGUCCUCAUUAAUUUGGUUUCUCAUUUUGAUUUAAUCACCUAACCCAUAUGCUAAGUUAAUUCUUAAGAUUUUAAAUAUCAGAAAUAUGUAUUGAUGUGUGAGGAAAUAUCAUUUCCACACAAACCAUGCAUGUGGCCUUGGUAAGAAAUAAAUGCUUGAUGGUGAGAUUUCACUCUGGAUCAAAUAUUAAUAUGAAAGUUGAAUAAAUGUUUCGUAUGAGUACUUCAUUAUAACAAAAAUCUUAAUUUUUUUAAAUGUGCAAGCUACAUCAUAUAGAUCAUAUAGAUUGAGUUAUUUUCCAAACUUUCUUGUGUUUGUUUGUCAUUAGAAAAAUUGAUCAACCAAAAACACUUUCCAGUUAAAGGAAAAUUUAGUUCGAUUUCCAGAAAAGUAUUUUCCUUUUAUUUUGGAUGGAAAAUACUUUCCGGACGUUGUGAAAAAUUUAAAAAUAUUAUAUUAUUUGCUGAUUAUAUCAAAUUUGGUCCUUAAACUUUUUAUUGCUAUAUACAUUUUGUUUUGAAUUUUUUUUUCAAUUUUAUCCCUUAUAAUUUCAUUUUUAUAUUAACUUUGAUUCUCAUUUUUAUAAUUGUUUUUUGCUUUUCUCUUAUCAUUUUUUAAUUGUAAUUUUUUAUCUAUCAAAUUUGAUCAUCAUUCUUUUGAUUGUUACUUAUUUUAUUUGAAAUAAUUUAUGAAAUGAUAAUUAUUAUUAUUUUAAUUUCUUCAUCUUUCAAUUUUUUUAUUUGUUAGAUUUGAUCUCUGUUAUUUUGAUUAUUAUUUAUUUUAUUUGAGAUAAUUUCUGAAAUUUUUUUUUCAAUUUCAUUCCCAUUCAACUUUUUAAUUUGUAAUAUUUGUUCCUUAUUAUUUUAAUAAACUUGAAAAAAAUAAAACAUUAAUAAGCUAUUUCCCAGCUCAUUUUCCAUGACAUAACCAAACACUGGAAAAUGUUUUUCAACUUAUUUUCCAUUACACUACCAAACAUCAAAAAAUAAUUCACUUUCCCGGAAUUCACUUAAAAAAAAAUACUUUAUAGCAAACAAACGGGUUCAAGCCUCUUAAGAUAUUGUUCUUACCCAAUAUUAUCAAAAAUACGUUUUGAUUUGUAAAAUCGUACAAUUUUAUGAGUCAAAAUAUAUAAAAAUAUAUAAAAUUAGAUUAAAAACUCGAAAACAAGUAAAAUCUAUCAAAUUCGUGUAAAAUCAAUCCAACUGUUAAAACCGGAUCGAUUUCACAAUUUCAUUGUAAGAAUUAAAGAAAUUGCUCAGUGCUCACUGCUGAGUCAGCACCACCCUUUUCCCAUGAGUCCCCACUCCACCGCCUAUUAGCUAGAGAAGAGAGCAAGUUGAUUUCAGGGAUACAAUGGAAGGCAUGGAAUGGUAGGUAUUUAUAAGAUAAUGUUUGUUUAAGAAAUUGCGUAUGUGUUUUACUUAAAAUAUAGAUACAACCUAAAGAAAAAAACAUACUUCACUGUUAAUGGAUCCCUUUCAUCCGAAAUGCAGGGGAAAGGAAAGCAAGCAAUUGCCGCUUCUUGUGCGCACUGUUCAUAGAAUUAAUUAUCAUGCUAUGCUAUACUAUUCAGUGAAGUGAACAGUAGCUACACUCAUUGUAAAGUGUUGCGGAACUAAAGGUGGUGGAAAAAUAAAGAAGGGACGGACCGAUGCAGCAAACUACGAAGAAAUGCGAGGCUUAAAGGUUUUUCGGAGACAGAGAAAGAGAGAGAAAGGGGUGAUGUGCUAUGUAUUUAUUGACUAACUCAAUCUUGUUGAGGAAGUUUCAACCAGAGAGAGAAAGGCAGAUUCUUCUUGUGCACACUGCCGGGCUUUACUUUUUUGCGACCAAACUACCACUACAUACACCGCUAAAUACCGCUGUAGCUGAUAAUUAUUUUUAAAAUUAGGCAAAUAUAACACUAUGUACAGUGUCAUCAUUUAGAUUUAAAUGCGUGCUUGAUUAGUGAUGGAGAAUGUAUUUUUUAUUUUUUUAUUUUUUGAGUUCUUUUGAGACUGAUAUCUGAAAAAAAAUUAAUUUUUUUAAACGCAUUAUAUUAAUAUAAGAAUUUUAAAAAAAUUGUUUAGAAAUGGGAUUUAGUCUCCGUUGAUGUUUAAAUUGACUCUAAUAUAUUUUUUAUUAUCAAAUUAGAAAAUACAUAAUAGAAGGUAUAUGUUUGGUAAUACAUUUUUUAAAAGGUUUUUUUGUUUUAAAAAAUAUUAAAUUGAUAAUUUUUUAUGAUUUUGAUAUUCUUGUAUAAAAAAUAUUUAAAAACAUUUAUUUAUUUAUUUAUUAUUAUUAUUUUACAAAAAUCCCUUAAAAAAACACCUUAAUCACAAUGUCAGAUAAUGCUUAAGAUUACCGAUACAAAAAAGGCUUCUACUAGUAUGAGGCCUGAGAGGUUUGGAGUGCCACUGGUUAAUUAAAACCCAAAGUGUACGAUGUUAACAAUAAGACCCAAAAAAAGCAUUUUCAGAGACGUGGUUUAAAAUGCCUAAUCAAGCACAAAAAUGAUUCCAUUGAAUCCAAAGUACAAAAGAACAACAUUUGCAAUCAGGUUCAAGAAAUGACAAAGCAUGUGCAUCUAGAUUUCUCAAAGAUUGAAGAAUUCUUCCUCACAGACUUGCAAAAUGGUUUUCAACUGACAAGUAUUCUCUCGUUAACUUCUCAGUUAUCAAAACACGUCCAUGGAACCAUUGGCAAACAUCGCUAUUUGAUUAUACUGACAAUUUUCCGACUGGUUGCAAUAAAUGUUGCGAUCAAUUCAGCAAGUGAACAUCCUGGUACCAUUCAUUACUCAAUUCAAUGACACUGUUAUAUUCGUCCAAUAAUGCUAAUCAUAUGGCAAACGAUUUUCUGUUUGCUAACACAUGUGAAAGUUCAAUAUUCUUCAAUAAUAUGUAUUGGAUCUAGCAACUGAAGUGCAGAUGUCAUGAUAUUUAGGGACCAAACUUCUCUAGUUCCUUCAUGAACAUGAACCUAACACUAUCGCUAAGAAAAUACAAGCCUCAACUAACAAUUCUUUCUGGUCAAACACAGCCUUCACAGAGCUUCCAUAAAUAUGGCCCCAUUAAAGGAUGGGAUAGAACGCUCCCUUGUUGAUGAAAAGGGUACAGAAACACCCCCAGCUUAACAAAGCAACAAGCUGGAUAAAUUGUCUGAUUAAAGGGAGAUAUAGCGGAAGUAUAAUUCAGAAAGUUGUAAGUCUUUUGUAGAUGAGUUAGUGGCCAUCAAAUUUGGAUCCCCAGCACCCAAUGGUAACAAGAACAUAUCAUGUCAAUGGUAGUUACAAAACUGUUUUUCAAAGGAAAACUACUCAGAAUAGCCCUGUCAACCAAUAAAGUACCUUCUACAAGAAUCUGACUUCAAACAACGCCACGCCUGCCUAUCUUGCUGCAAUGAUGUUUCAUAAGAAAAUCAGGUUGGCUGGCUAAUCGAGUACAACUCCGGAUUUUGCAUUUACAAAUUACAAUGCAAGAGUGAUGUUACCCAUUCAGUGAAUGAGCUCAUACAUAGCAGAGGGUGACUACCUAUAUGUUUUUGACAAGGAUUGCACUCAUGGUUUCUUUUUACAUGAAUCUCGCACUUCUUACAGGCAAUUAAAUAUGAUCUGGAGUGAACAAUCGGACUAUAAUCUACAUAGAAACAUAAUGAGGAAUCCUCGGCAACCUAAGGAGUACUUCAAACCUACUUCAGAGGACCGAAAUGACUUGCUGCGAUGAAAAGUAGAUUUCAUCUUUGACAGAAAUCACUUUCUCAAAAUGAUGGAACAAACUAUGUAUUUUGAGAAAACACUUAAGUGUAAUUUACAUCACUGCAGACUUGAAAAGAAGGAAUUAAAAGCGCACCUUUCAGACUAUGGAAAGAAUCUCUACAGAAACAAUCAAGUCUUCUCACUCCAGCUAAACUAGCCAGAUAAAUUGUGGAAAUACGCAAACAGCAAGCUGACAAGAAAUGUCAUCUAUACAAUAUAGAUGGACAUAUAUUCCCAGAAAAAGGAUGGAAUUUUUCACCUGGAGAACCUCGCACAAUAACUAAAGUAUUUUAAAAGGUAGAGUGAGCGAGAUACAAAAAUAUACCUUCAAUGCUUAUUGAGGAAUAAAACUAGAUUCUUUUUUUUCUCUCUUAACCGAUCAGGAAGGUAAAAAUGAGAGAACCCAGAUUUAUAAAACGUGUCCCUGGAUUCUACUUGUCCCAUAGGAUGCCUAAAGUUGAUCAAGCAAUAAAGAAAUGGGAGGUGCAAAUACGUUCAUCUUUCCCAUUUCAAGUAGCAGUGCCUGAUCACUUGUGCAAUUAUGACAGAUAAUUGAACUUUGUUAAGCAACACAUUGAUUGUAUUUUAAGGAAAUGAAAAGUAAUUAUUAUAUCGACAUACCAUUUAAAUGCCACUGUAGAAGGCAAGCAAACUAAACCAACCCCUAGCGAAAAUUAUCACAUGAUACCAAAGCAUAGAUGUUCAAGGGAUGAUGUUAAAAAUGAUAAACCUUUUCAAUGAUGAUACGAUCGCCAACACGAAGAGUCGGGUACAUGGAGGACGACGGGAUGAAGCGAAGCUCUGAAAAAGUAGACCACAAAAGCACCAGAACAAGAAGCCUUAACAACCCAUCAAGACCAGGUCAUCGAAGAAACCCCCAGCUCUAGCAUGGCAUCCAUUUUAGUACUGUGGCGGAUGUUAUAAAGAAAUUAUUCAAUGCAGAUGGCCUCAAGAAACUCAUUGUAAAGUGUUGCGGAACUAAAGGUGAUGGAAAAAUCAAAAGGACGGACCGAUGCAGCAAACUACGAAGAAAAUGCGAGGCUUAAAGGUUUCGGAGACAGAGAAAGAGAGGAAAAGGGGUGAUGUGCUAUGUAUUUAUUGACUAACUCAAUCUUGUUGAGGAAGUUUCAACCAGAGAGAGAGAGGCAGAUUCUUCUUGUUCACACUGCCGGGCCUUACUUUUUUGCGACCAAACUACCACUAGAACGCGUACAUACACCGCUAAAUAC
RNAcentral lists this long non-coding RNA (15652 nucleotides) under Populus trichocarpa (black cottonwood). Its description in RNAcentral is "long non-coding RNA (PTRI_LNC000590)". Lineage: Eukaryota; Viridiplantae; Streptophyta; Magnoliopsida; Malpighiales; Salicaceae. The record is from RNAcentral.